This is a long non-coding RNA of Homo sapiens (human), 1144 nucleotides long. Ensembl annotates it as lysine methyltransferase 2C pseudogene 1. Its record names the gene KMT2CP1. NCBI's taxonomy places the organism in Eukaryota, Metazoa, Chordata, Mammalia, Primates, Hominidae. The record is from Ensembl.
AAAGGCUUGCUGAUAGCGUUCACAGUGACAGCCCGAAAGUAUGAUUCUAAGGGCCAUGGGUCUGGAUUUCCAGGAAAGCGGAGACCUCGAGGUGCAGGACUGUCGGGGCGAGGUGGCCGAGGCAGGUCAAAGCUGAAAAGUGGAAUCGGAGCUGUUGUAUUGCCUGGGGUGUCUACUGCAGAUAUUUCAUCAAAUAAGGAUGAUGAAGAAAACUCUGUGCUCGAUAUGGUUGUGUUGUUUUCUAGCAGUGACAAAUUCACUUUGAAUCAGGAUACAUGUGUAGUUUGUGGCAGUUUUGGCCAAGGAGCAGAAGGAAGAUUACUUGCCUGUUCUCAGUGUGGUCAGUGUUACCAUCCAUACUGUGUCAGUAUUAAGGUGUGUUUGGUGCAGACACUGUGGAGCAACAUCUGCAGGUCUAAGAUGUGAAUGGCAGAACAAUUACACACAGUGCGCUCCUUGUGCAAGUUUAUCUUCCUGUCCAGUCUGCUAUUGAAACUAUAGAGAAGAAGAUCUUAUUCUGCAAUGAAGACAAUGUGAUAGACAGAGUCUUGCUCUGUCGCCAGGCUGGAGUGCAUCGGCGCUAUCUCGGCUCACUGCAAACUCCACCUCCGCCUCCUGGGUUCAAGCGAUUCUCCUGCCUCAGCCUCCGGAGUAGCAGGGACUACAGAUGGAUGCAUGCAGUUCGUCAGAACUUAAAUACUGAGGAAGAAGUGGAAAAUGUAGCAGACAUUGGUUUUGAUUGUAACAUGUGCAGACCCUAUAUGCCUGCGUCUAAUGUGCCUUCCUCAGACUGCUGUGGAUCUUCACUUGUAGCACAAAUUGUCACAAAAACCCACCCAAGACUUAUACCCAGGAUGGUGUGUGUUUGACUGAAUCAGGGAAGACUCAGUUACAGAGCCUCACAGUUACAGUUCCAAGAAGAAAACUGUCAAAACCAAAACUGAAAUUGAAGAUUAUAAAUCAGAAUAGCGUGGCCGUCCUUCAGACCCCUCCAGACAUCCAAUCAGAACAUUCAAGGGAUGGUGAUAUGGAUGAUAGUCGAGACACAGCCGCUGUCGCUGCCAUGUGGCGCGCCGCAGACUCCCGAGAACAGCCCUGGCUGUCAGCGGGCACCAGCCGCUUCCUGUGCCCAUCGCGUAGACUG